Non-coding RNA from Pelobates cultripes (western spadefoot toad), 337 nucleotides. The record is from the annotation of a GenBank genome assembly. Lineage: Eukaryota; Metazoa; Chordata; Amphibia; Anura; Pelobatidae.
GUAGAGUGGGAUGUUGAGGUCUCUGCAUAAUGAUCCACACAUGACUGAUCACUUGUACAAGAGUUGGAGAACCUUGCAGGGUUAUUUACUAAAUAAUCGAGAAUUGAACGUGAAUACAAAGUGAAUUUCAUAUUUAAGGUCAAAAUAGCCAAAACUAGAAAAAUUCUCUAUGUAAGCUAAGCUUUAAGCUCAGCUGCUCUGGCCUUAAAUCCGAAAUUUACUUUGAAUUUACUUCCAAAUCUGACUUUAGAAAAUAACCCUGUUAGUGGAAAGGCAUGAAACACAAGGGGAAUUCCAAUGCGUUCCAUACCACCUCAUAGUCCUGCUGCUUUAAGAC